This 253-nucleotide ribosomal RNA is filed under the name uncultured bacterium. RNAcentral's name for it is "partial 16S ribosomal RNA". It matches the Rfam family "Bacterial small subunit ribosomal RNA", at positions 524 to 776 of the family's 1533-position model. The record is from RNAcentral.
UACGGAGGGUGCGAGCGUUAAUCGGAAUUAUUGGGCGUAAAGGGUGCGUAGGUGGUUGAUUAAGUUAGCUGUGAAAUUCCUGGGCUUAACCUGGGGUGGUCAGCUAAGACUGAUUGACUUGAGUAUAGGAGAGGGUAGUGGAAUUUCCGGUGUAGCGGUGAAAUGCGUAGAGAUCGGAAGGAACACCAGUGGCGAAGGCGGCUACCUGGCCUGAUACUGACACUGAGGCACGAAAGCGUGGGGAGCAAACAGG